RNAcentral lists this ribosomal RNA (819 nucleotides) under uncultured bacterium. RNAcentral's name for it is "bacterial SSU rRNA". It matches the Rfam family "Bacterial small subunit ribosomal RNA", at positions 62 to 876 of the family's 1533-position model. The record is from RNAcentral.
UCGAGGGGCAGCACGAUGUAGCAAUACAUUGGUGGCGACCGGCGCACUGGUGAGUAACGCGUAUGCAACCUACCUAUCAGAGGGGAAUAACCCGGCGAAAGUCGGACUAAUACCGCAUAAAACAGGGGUUCCACAUGGAAAUAUUUGUUAAAGAAUUAUCGCUGAUAGAUGGGCAUGCGUUCCAUUAGAUAGUUGGUGAGGUAACGGCUCACCAAGUCCACGAUGGAUAGGGGUUCUGAGAGGAAGGUCCCCCACACUGGUACUGAGACACGGACCAGACUCCUACGGGAGGCAGCAGUGAGGAAUAUUGGUCAAUGGGCGAGAGCCUGAACCAGCCAAGUCGCGUGAAGGAUGAAGGAUCUAUGGUUUGUAAACUUCUUUUAUAUGGGAAUAAAGUGAGGAACGUGUUCCUUUUUGUAUGUACCAUAUGAAUAAGCAUCGGCUAACUCCGUGCCAGCAGCCGCGGUAAUACGGAGGAUGCGAGCGUUAUCCGGAUUUAUUGGGUUUAAAGGGUGCGUAGGUGGUUAAUUAAGUCAGCGGUGAAAGUUUGUGGCUCAACCAUAAAAUUGCCGUUGAAACUGGUUGACUUGAGUAUAUUUGAGGUAGGCGGAAUGCGUGGUGUAGCGGUGAAAUGCAUAGAUAUCACGCAGAACUCCGAUUGCGAAGGCAGCUUACUAAACUAUAACUGACACUGAAGCACGAAAGCGUGGGGAUCAAACAGGAUUAGAUACCCUGGUAGUCCACGCAGUAAACGAUGAUUACUAGCUGUUUGCGAUACACAGUAAGCGGCACAGCGAAAGCGUUAAGUAAUCCACCUGG